This 372-nucleotide ribosomal RNA is filed under the name uncultured organism. RNAcentral describes it as "partial 16S ribosomal RNA". It matches the Rfam family "Bacterial small subunit ribosomal RNA", at positions 527 to 896 of the family's 1533-position model. The record is from RNAcentral.
AGAGAGUGCAAGCGUUAAUCGGAAUUACUGGGCGUAAAGCGCGCGUAGGUGGGAUACUUCAGUCGGGAUGUGAAAGCCCUGGGCUUAACCUAGGAACUGCACCCCGAUACUGGGUAACUAGAGUAUGGUAGAGGGAAGUGGAAUUUCCGGUGUAGCGGUGAAAUGCGUAGAUAUCGGAAGGAACACCAGUGGCGAAGGCGACUUCCUGGACCAAUACUGACACUGAGGCGCGAAAGCGUGGGGAGCAAACAGGAUUAGAGACCCUGGUAGUCCACGCUGUCAACGAUGAGAACUAGACGUUGGAGGGGUAACCCUUCAGUGUCGAAGCUAACGCGUUAAGUUCUCCGCCUGGGGAGUACGGCCGCAAGGUUA